GCGGGAGUAAUUCAGUGGUAGAAUGCCUCCUUGCCAAGGAGGAUGUCGCGAGUUCGAGCCUCGUCUCCCGCUCCA
Molecule: transfer RNA, 75 nt
Filed under: Pseudomonadota bacterium
Lineage: Bacteria; Pseudomonadati; Pseudomonadota
Also listed under: 6 other names
Description: tRNA-Gly
Rfam family: tRNA
About the family: Transfer RNA (tRNA) molecules are approximately 80 nucleotides in length. Their secondary structure includes four short double-helical elements and three loops (D, anti-codon, and T loops). Further hydrogen bonds mediate the characteristic L-shaped molecular structure. tRNAs have two regions of fundamental functional importance: the anti-codon, which is responsible for specific mRNA codon recognition, and the 3' end, to which the tRNAs corresponding amino acid is attached (by aminoacyl-tRNA synthetases). tRNAs cope with the degeneracy of the genetic code in two manners: having more than one tRNA (with a specific anti-codon) for a particular amino acid; and 'wobble' base-pairing, i.e. permitting non-standard base-pairing at the 3rd anti-codon position.
Source: RNAcentral